GGGGAUGAUAGGGUUCGACAGGAGUAUAAUUGUUUAAAUGGCAAGUAGAUGGCAAUCUUUAAAUGCAUUUAAAUAUAACUGGAAACAGAAAUUUACAAUUCGCUUAAUUUAAUUUAAUAGUAGCGAACUCUUAUAUAUUUUUUGCUUACGAAGAUAUAUAGGGGUAAUACCUAGUGAGCUAUAUUAUUGUAGUUCCUAUAUACAAUAAUGAAUAUUUAUAGGAUUGUUACUUAUUUGGUUGUUAGUCUCUUGGUAAGUAAUGAAAUAUCUAGACUGACUAAACUUGUAGAUGUUUAAAUUUAAUUUGCUUUUGGACAGGAGUUCAACUCUCCUCAUCUCCACCA
This 344-nucleotide transfer-messenger RNA is filed under the name bovine gut metagenome. It matches the Rfam family "transfer-messenger RNA". Rfam says of the family: Bacterial tmRNA, also known as 10Sa RNA or SsrA, is named for its dual tRNA and mRNA-like properties. The record is from RNAcentral.